UCCUACGGGGGGCAGCAGUGGGGAAUAUUGCACAAUGGGCGAAAGCCUGAUGCAGCAACGCCGCGUGAGCGAUGAAGGCCUUCGGGUCGUAAAGCUCUGUCCUCAAGGAAGAUAAUGACGGUACUUGAGGAGGAAAGCCCCGGCGAACUAACGUGCCCA
This 159-nucleotide ribosomal RNA is filed under the name uncultured bacterium. RNAcentral's name for it is "partial 16S ribosomal RNA". It matches the Rfam family "Bacterial small subunit ribosomal RNA", at positions 337 to 511 of the family's 1533-position model. The record is from RNAcentral.